UACAGAGGUGGCAAGCGUUGUUCGGAAUUACUGGGCGUAAAGGGCGAGUAGGUGGCCAUCUAAGUCAGACGUGAAAUCCCCGGGCUCAACCUGGGAAUGGCAUUUGAGACUGCAUGGCUAGAGUGUGUCAGAGGGGGGUAGAAUUCCACGUGUAGCAGUGAAAUGCGUAGAUAUGUGGAGGAAUACCGAUGGCGAAGGCAGCCCCCUGGGAUAACACUGACGCUCAAGCACGAAAGCGUGGGGAGCAAACAGG
RNAcentral lists this ribosomal RNA (253 nucleotides) under uncultured bacterium. Its description in RNAcentral is "partial 16S ribosomal RNA". It matches the Rfam family "Bacterial small subunit ribosomal RNA", at positions 524 to 776 of the family's 1533-position model. The record is from RNAcentral.